CGUUAAAGGUGUAUAUUCCGAUUUUUUUUUUAUUUUUUGAUGAUAAGCGAGCCAAAUAGCCAGCCGGCAAAAAUCUACACGGAGGUACACCCCUCAGCACUCGGUUACAGCAGUGAGAAACUGUUAUGAGUACCUCAUGAGGGCUGUUACAAGGAAGUAGGAUUGACAGAACUGAAGUAUUUGAGAGCAAAACAACAACUUCCAACCAAAAUCAAUCCAUCAGAAUAGAAUGUGUCCUUUGGAAACCAACCCCGUACUCCAAUAGCUGAGAAAAUUGAGUGCAGAUGCAAUGCCCGCGGCCAAAAAAACUCAGCUCUUUCCCUGUGUCUCAAAGCCCCACUGACCUGGCCACGUCCCCCCAUUUGCUUUGCUGCUGCUUUUUUGUUUGUCUCUGGGCCCUCAGCUUCUGUGGCCAUUUUCGGGGACUCUCAUGGACAGCUCAAAUUAUUCCAGCAGCCUUGGAAUAAUUUCUAAGAAAUGAGUUCUUUGUUGCAGGUGUGGGUAUGACCAGCUGUUCAGGAAGCCGGAGGAGCCGAUGCUGACGGAUGGUGUGCUGGGGCUUGGCUUUGGGAAGGCCAGCAUCCUGUCCCAGCUGAGUAGCUGGGGGGUUAUCCGGAAUGUGGUAGGCCACUGCCUCAGUAGCAAAGGGGGAGGCUAUUUUUUCCUGGGGGAUGACCUAGUGCCUCCCUCUGGGUUGACCUGGUCGCCCAAACUUCGAAUUGGAGACAGGUUACUGAGAUUCCUGCCCUUUAGAUGGGUUCAACUGUAGUUACUUAUGAUGCUGAUGUUAGAUUGCUAACUAACUCUGCUUUGGAUUUGGAUCAGCAACUAUUACUCGCCGGGGCCAGCAAGUCUCGUCUUGGGGUCCCAGUCUUUGGGGUCCAAGCUGCCAGUGGUAUUGGACAGCGGAAGCUCCUAUACCUACUUCGGAUUUCAACCGUACCAAGAUUUUCUCUCCGCGGUAAUUGAAAUUGGAUGUAUUUUUUACUUGUUUGCUUUGGAUUGUUUAGACUUUUAGAGCUAAGUUUCCUUUUCUUAAAGAUAAAAAGGGAUCUAUCGAGACAGCCACUGACAGAGACAUCUGAUGAUAAGUCGCUACCCUUGUGCUGGAAAGGACCGAAACCGUUCAAGUCUGUGCUUGAUGUUAUCAAGUAUUUUAAGC
RNAcentral lists this long non-coding RNA (1162 nucleotides) under Elaeis guineensis (African oil palm). RNAcentral's name for it is "long non-coding RNA (EGUI_LNC021058)". Lineage: Eukaryota; Viridiplantae; Streptophyta; Magnoliopsida; Arecales; Arecaceae. The record is from RNAcentral.